Molecule: ribosomal RNA, 502 nt
Filed under: uncultured bacterium
Lineage: Bacteria
Description: bacterial SSU rRNA
Rfam family: Bacterial small subunit ribosomal RNA
Source: RNAcentral
AACGAACGCUGGCGGCGCGCCUAAUACAUGCAAGUCGAGCGAGAAGGUGUAGCAAUACACUUGUAAAGCGGCGAACGGGUGAGGAAUGCAUGGGUAACCUACCCUCGAGUGGGGAAUAACUAGCCGAAAGGUUAGCUAAUACCGCAUACGUUUCCGGAACUUCGGUUUCGGAAAGAAAGCAAUACCGUGGGUAUUGCGCUCCUGGAUGGGCUCAUGUCCUAUCAGCUUGUUGGUGAGGUAACGGCUCACCAAGGCUUCGACGGGUAGCUGGUCUGAGAGGACGAUCAGCCACACUGGCACUGCGACACGGGCCAGACUCCUACGGGAGCAGCAGUAAGGAAUAUUGCGCAAUGGACGAAAGUCUGACGCAGCGACGCCGCGUGGGGGAUGAAGGUCUUCGGAUUGAAAACCCCCUUUCGGGAGGGAAGAUGGAGUGGGUAACCACUUGGACGGUACCUCCAGAAGCAGCCACGGCUAACUUCGUGCCAGCAGCCGCGGUAAU